Falco peregrinus (peregrine falcon) is the source of this 5158-nucleotide long non-coding RNA. RefSeq lists it as uncharacterized. The transcript has 5 exons. NCBI's taxonomy places the organism in Eukaryota, Metazoa, Chordata, Aves, Falconiformes, Falconidae. The record is from RefSeq and is a predicted model, not a curated record.
AUUACCUUCCUUGAGACAACCAAGACCAAUGACUUCCCUGAAGCUUCUCUAGGCAUUGGCUGGAAAGAGCGAUUUAGUAUGGAAUAUGUAAUGAAUAGUCAAACUGGUUCCUCUUCGUUUCCUUGGUUGAUCACUGUGAAGAUUCUGGCCACCAGGAUUAAUCUGCUCUACUCAUCCGGCUUGGGCACUGUUUCUGAAGCUCUGCAAUGUGCAUUCAAAAAUGCAAUGUCCAUUCAAAAGCCUGAUUGCUCUGGGGGACCGUAUCGCAUCCAUACAGGCUGGUUCAAGCAUGUUGGAUCACGAGAGAUGAAGGGGCAUGAGAACUAAAAAUGUGUUGUGCAGGCGCUCAUUAACUAAAGAGCGUGGCUGGAGAGUCCGUGUCCCGAUAGCCAGCUUGCAAAGGCAGCAGUGCUAGGCUGGGGCUGGCUCCCGGAGCGCUUGAGGGGUCUGGACAAAUAUGCUCUGCACCUUUGCAAGAGAUGCCGCUGCGUCCUGGACUCCAGCCCAGUGCCGGGCUUUUGCGGAGGUGAGGAAAAUAUUGCUCAUUCAUAAAUGCAUGUUUUUAGGGGUAUUAUUCCUGAAUAUAAAGUAGAACCAGCUUUUAGAAGCAGAGGAUAAAGAUUUGGCUGGGAACCUCUGAGCUGGAGGACCAAUAACUCGGGAAUUGCUCUGAAGUGUUUGAUCUGUCUCAGGCCAGCAAAUGCUGAGCCAGCGCCUGCUGUUAAGUGGAAGUUAUUUUCUGCAUCCACCAGAGUCCUAUAAAACCAUUUCCUCUGGGACCCACAGGGACAGCUAGGGCCGCCCCCCCCAGUAUCAAUAUGUGAGUGCUAAGGGAAGGAGGACGUGCUGUGUGACAGAUUUAGGGGUAGCCUUGGGGGUCUAUCGCCUCUCUCCAAGCAGCUUUGCCAGAGUGUUGAAGUUGCCUCCUAUUCAUCUGGAGAAGAUUGGCGUGGUGUUUUAACAGGCAGAGCUGGUGCUCAUGAAGCCUGGGUCCUACACCCACCUCUGCUGCAGGCUCCUUGUGUCAGCACAAGGAGAUGAUGUAGUGCUGCAAGGGGGAGAAAGGGCUGUUUUCCCGGGCUGCGGGGGUAGGGGGGUAAAGCUGGUCCCUGCAUGCAUGGGGGAUGUCUUAAAUAAGCGGAGGCAGGACCACCUUUGUGUUCGUAUGAUGCCUGGCAUGGAGGACCCUGAGUCCCAGAUCUCCAGCUGAAGCCUUGCUGAUGAACGACCUGCACCAAGCCAGGCUUGGGGGCUCUUUCAGGACAAGUAUUUCUCUGGGGACAUCCUCCAUGCAAACCUCUUCCAGGGGCCUCCCAUGGCUUUCUGUUCCAGGUCUUCCAAUGAAAUGCUGUCAUCUCUGUAGCUGCACCGCCCUUUGUUUUAAUCAGCUCAUUUUCUGUGUGUGAUCAGGGGAACCGACCUCGCACAGAUAGUGCAGACCGAGCGUCCUCCGAGGAUUUCUGUAGAUGCCUUGCAUUUCCAGAGUUGAGCUCCCUGUGCAUCCCCCCUCCUUGUGACAUCCCUCCCUCCUCCUCUCACUUGCUUCUUGGAAAUCUUCGUCACCUUUUUGAAGCGUAACAGUAUUUUCUCAGCAUCCUCUGGUUCCUCUGAGGAUCCCAAGCCUACACUGAAGCAUACUCAAUCCUGAAAGGUGCAAGCAUAAGGGUUCUGCUCAGAAAGUCCCACCAUCUUCCAGAUGAUAACCCUGGAGGCCAGCAGGUGGACGUUCAUGGUGUACAUUUUCUUCAAGAGGCGGGUGCUUUGGCAGUAAGGAGGUGAAGGAGUGAUGGGAAAGGUGACAGCCCCACCUGCCAAAUGAUGCCUUUCAGCUCUUGCCUUUGCCUGAGCCAAUUAUUUUGUUUGCCCUGGAAGUCCAUUUGCAAAGCCUGAAGGAAAGAAAAACAACCUUCUCCCCCUCUCUGCCCCACCACCUGAGUGCUAAAGCAGACCCCGUGAGGUGAAGCACGGGGAGGCGUAAGUGGAAGAAGAGCUGGCAGGAGAUCUUGUUCUCCGGUUGUGCCUGGGGGCUUUUCCCGUCGGAGCCCCUGGAAGGCCAGCAGGGAAAUGAUUCCAAUUCCAGGCUUUCCAGCUUCCACGCUCAUUUAACCCAAACCAUUUCCUACUCUCUGAGAGGGAAGCAGGGAUGAGGUUUGCAGAUUCGAAGUGGGGGGAGGAACUGAAAAUGAUAUCAGCAGUUUUACAGCCAUUUCUUUUCUUGGCAGGACAUGAGGGAAAACGUCUCCCCGCCUCUAGGACAGAAGGUGGAGGAAUGCAAAUGCUGAAACAUUUUUCAGUUUGCCCUUAUUAUCUUUCCUCCCCCAGCAGUUUUAUUAGGGUUCAUAAAUUCACCCUCAGAGCACGUAUUCCCCCAUGCCUUUUAACCCUCUGUGGCCUCAGAGGUCACUCAUCCUGAAAGACUGCUGGCUGUCCAAGAAAAGCCACCUUUCCCCAUCAAUGCUGACUCUGAAAGGCAAGCAACCACAUGGUGUCAUCUCCAUCUAGAGAGAACAGAAAUCAGUGGGAAAAAGCAUGUCUGAGGCAAAUGUUUAAAUCGAGCCAUAUUUUCCUGGUUGCUUAUGUCUCAUCUCCUGGUGUGCUCUUCUGCAAACACCUUGCUCAAGCUAUGCCCACUAAGCAGAGGCAGCUGGUAGGGAGCCCAGAGGACGCAGUGCAUGGCUGUAGUCACCAAACCAUUCCCACUGGAGAGUGCUGUUCCAUUCGCUGGUGGCAGGGAUCCUGCCUUUCAGGUUCAGAUCCUCCCUGCGAGGAGGCUAGCUGCCCUUCCUCUGCUUCUAGGCAUCAAAACAAGACCCUCGCAACAAAGGCUUGGGCUCCCCUUUCCCCCCUCACCUGAACCUGCUGGCUGCAGCACAUCCUUUGCUUUAAAACCUCUGCGUGACAUGUCAGAUCCUCUUCUCAGAAGUGCCACUAGCUCCCAGUGCAACCUUCCGUGGCUAACUUAGCUGGAGCCAGUUUUCAAUGAAAAGAAAGGAAAAAAAUAAAAAUAAAAGGAGCAAUAGCUGCCUUGCUGCUGCCUUUGCUCUGAUGUAUCCAUUUACAUCUGCAGCACUAGGAGAGAGGGAUAUCUCUGUGCUUUUCCAGUACUGUGUGCAAGGAGAGCUUGUGGCACAAGUGUAAUAUAAAUAAAAAACCUAAUAAUGCAGUGAAAUGGGCAGGUGAAGAUAUGACGGAGGAAUAUGAUAUUGUCUCAGAAGCGUUUCAGCGCAGUAGCUUCGGCGCUGUGCUCCCCCAGCACGGCAGGAGAGCAGCGGAAAAUUCCUCCAUCCCAGCACGGCACCACUGCCUGACUCCCUCUUACAAUGAGAAGCCAGAGGUAAUAGUAACCCUUUUGGCAAGAACAAUUUCUUCACAGCAAGCCAAAAUAUAUCCAGUAAUACAGAAGGGUCCCAUAAAGCGCAGCGUGGUAGGGACCUGUUAAACCAAUAACCUCUGCUGGGCUGGUGUGCGGGUUUGCCUAGCAGCCCACAGCUCUUUUGGAGAGGUAUUUAAUGAGGUAUUUUGUAGCUAGUGUUUGCUAAACGAUCAUCUUCUGGUGUCAAGGUCUCCAUUUUCCACGCAAGCUUUGCUAAAACUGCAACAAUUUUAUUAUUUUUUUUUGUGCUGACAUAAUAUUUUUGUUGUAGUUCCCAAUCCAGAGUUGAGUGUGUUUUCCCGUGCAGGGGGACCAUCAGCUUCUCCGUGGAGAUGGGGGCCCAUGGCAUCCCUCGGCACCUGCUGAGCCGUUCACAGCACGGGGUCACCAACCCUGCUGUCCCUCCAGAUAUCCUUAGUGGUCCUCGAGAGGAUAGCUCAGGAUGUCUGUCUCCGACCCUUUUGUGAAAUCCAACCUCUGGACAACACUGCCAAUACGUGUGAUUGAGAAUCAUGGCACCAAAUUAGGGAGAAAUCCAUGAAGCAAAUGGAAAACUUCAUUUUUAAUGGGACAAAAUGUGUCAUCUGAUUGCAAGCAGGUUUUGCAAGCAGCGGGGAAGAUGCUGAGUGUAUCGUAUAUUCCAGCUCUAAAUGUGUCUUGAGUUCCCUCCACCAAACUGCUACAGGGUUUCUAUGGGCUCCAGUGUGGACUUAUCUGCUCUAGCUUUAAGUGCACUCAGCAGCCGGAAGAAGUCUAGCCAUGGAGCUCCACAAUGCCUAAUUUACUCUGUCAAGAAAGCUUCAGAGACUGCCAAGAACUCGAGAAAACGAGACUGCACUGAGCUCUGGGAGCUGGCAUCCCUGAGCUGCCUUGUUUGUGGAGACUCUAGGGACCUGUGCUCGGGUCUAUCUGUUGCACCGGCAUUUUGAGGGGUGGUGAAACCACAGUAUAUGGACAGUCAUUUCCUGAUGGGACAUUGGUGUGGGUAUCCUUGGUACCAGCCCCCACCAGCCUUUAAGGAGGUUUGGGAGAGCUCCUGAUGGUGGAACAGAAUUGCCCAGGAGAAUACUGCAAAGGUAGGAAGAAAAAGCGUGAUAUUUUGUUCAGAAAUAUCUCAUCUUGUCCCAUUAAGAGUUGCUGCAGCUAUGGCUUCCACCACAAAAAAUGGCUAUGCUUGGCCAUGUUAAAGUCUUCACCAAAGCUAUAUGAUUUGCAUCACCACAUCCAUGCAUUUAAAGCCACCUGUCAUGGAGAAAAGGCUCAUAUAAGUGAUGACGGGCUAGUCCCUGGGACAGCCAUUUCCCACUGUAAAUGCAGGACAGUGCAAGGCUCAACCACCAUGGUGGUUCCCGUGUCCAAGGUCAACUUCUGCACAAAUUUCUGCGUUUCUGGACAAAUGUGGUGGUGCUUUCCACAGUGCUUCUGGGGCUCUGUGCCAUGGUCAUGACUACGAAAAACCAACCUUGAUUUAGAUCUCAUGUUAAUCACAUUCUCUGUGUUACCUUUUUAAAUAUUUACUGCAGCCUAAUUAAAAUGAAAAUAUAUUCAGUAUACAUAUGGAUGAAAGAAUGCUCUUUGGUUUUUAAGUCAAUGCUUUAUCCUGUGACUUUGUAGUUACCAGCACUUUGAAAUAUAGGAAUGAUCUGAAUGGGAGGUUUUGACUUGUCCAGAAGUUGUUUAAUUUAAAAUCAAAGGGGUUUUUUUCUUCUUUUUUUUUUUUUGGUUUUAAUGUAGGUGAUUUUAAUCAAUGACACAAUAAUACUCAAUAUAAAACUACAACCUGGC